This 253-nucleotide ribosomal RNA is filed under the name uncultured bacterium. RNAcentral describes it as "partial 16S ribosomal RNA". It matches the Rfam family "Bacterial small subunit ribosomal RNA", at positions 524 to 776 of the family's 1533-position model. The record is from RNAcentral.
UACGUAGGUGGCAAGCGUUGUCCGGAUUUACUGGGCGUAAAGGAUGCGUAGGCGGACAUUUAAGUCAGAUGUGAAAUACCCGAGCUUAACUUGGGUGCUGCAUUUGAAACUGGGUGUCUAGAGUGCAGGAGAGGUAAGUGGAAUUCCUAGUGUAGCGGUGAAAUGCGUAGAGAUUAGGAAGAACACCAGUGGCGAAGGCGGCUCUCUGGAACGCAACUGACGCUGAGACGCGAAAGCGUGGGGAGCAAACAGG